RNAcentral lists this long non-coding RNA (238 nucleotides) under Vigna radiata. RNAcentral's name for it is "long non-coding RNA (VRAD_LNC007040)". Lineage: Eukaryota; Viridiplantae; Streptophyta; Magnoliopsida; Fabales; Fabaceae. The record is from RNAcentral.
GCGGACAUUAAUGGCUAUUCACCUAUCUGUCAGACCUAUAGACGUCGAUUAGGAGAUACCCGACGUCUAUAUAUAUGCCAGGCAGGUGAAAAAGUCAUUCCUUUCCGACAUAUAAACGACGGAUGCCUCCACACGACGUCUAUAAUCGUAUACAGGCGUCAUUGGCCUUAGUAGCCGACGUCUAUAAGCCCCGCGAAUAUUAAUUUUAAAAUCAUAAAGACGUCGAAUUAGUGAGGUC